Molecule: long non-coding RNA, 598 nt
Filed under: Oncorhynchus kisutch (coho salmon)
Lineage: Eukaryota; Metazoa; Chordata; Actinopteri; Salmoniformes; Salmonidae
Description: lncRNA (ENSOKIG00005011302.1)
Source: RNAcentral
AUGGGGGGCAACAUGGUAGAUCUAGACUGCUGCUCCAGCCCCACCUGCAGGUCGGAACUGUUGUGGAAUGCUAAGGGCCGUGCGUUGCUGCAGGAGGUCAGCAAGGAGGUGAAGAGAGAGAUGAGGCUGGAGCAACGUUGGGUCACAAGCCAACAGGAAAAAGAGAAAAUGAAACGGGAGAGACAACAGAGGAGACGUCUCAAAGGCGGGAAGAAAGAUUCUCCAACCAAGACAGAUUCACAAGACAACUCAGCGAGCAUGGACAACAUCCUGAUAUCGGUAUCCAAUCCUGACAACAACCAAUUCGACCCCUCUGAUCAUCACUCCUUACCUUCUCCAGUAGAACAGAAAUGUGACGUAACGAGAAAACUCUCGGCUCUGUGUCACAACAUGGUCGAAGCAGUGAAUCAGAAGUCCAUCAUCUCUGCCCACAACCUCUUUGCUGAGGGACCAGGGCUGGUUGACUCUGUCUCCUCCACCUUGGUGACCUGUAGCAGUCUGAUUGGACAAGCUGGCUCCCUUCAGUCCAUCACCCAGCAACUGUCUGAAAUGUAAGUCUGCACUUUCAAACAUUUGUAAAUAUUUGCUUUUAAAUGUA